RNAcentral lists this ribosomal RNA (690 nucleotides) under uncultured bacterium. RNAcentral describes it as "bacterial SSU rRNA". It matches the Rfam family "Bacterial small subunit ribosomal RNA", at positions 141 to 851 of the family's 1533-position model. The record is from RNAcentral.
GGAUAACAUACCGAAAGGUAUGCUAAUACGGGAUAAUAUAUUUGAGAGGCAUCUCUUAAAUAUCAAAGGUGAGCCAGUACAGGAUGGACCCGCGUCUGAUUAGCUAGUUGGUAAGGUAACGGCUUACCAAGGCGACGAUCAGUAGCCGACCUGAGAGGGUGAUCGGCCACAUUGGAACUGAGACACGGUCCAAACUCCUACGGGAGGCAGCAGUGGGGAAUAUUGCACAAUGGGCGAAAGCCUGAUGCAGCAACGCCGCGUGAGUGAUGAGGGCCUUCGGGUCGUAAAACUCUGUCCUCAAGGAAGAUAAUGACGGUACUUGAGGAGGAAGCCCCGGCUAACUACGUGCCAGCAGCCGCGGUAAUACGUAGGGGGCUAGCGUUAUCCGGAUUUACUGGGCGUAAAGGGUGCGUAGGCGGUCUUUCAAGUCAGAAGUGAAAGGCUACGGCUCAACCGUAGUAAGCUCUUGAAACUGGGAGACUUGAGUGCAGGAGAGGAGAGUGGAAUUCCUAGUGUAGCGGUGAAAUGCGUAGAUAUUAGGAGGAACACCAGUUGCGAAGGCGGCUCUCUGGACUGUAACUGACGCUGAGGCACGAAAGCGUGGGGAGCAAACAGGAUUAGAUACCCUGGUAGUCCACGCUGUAAACGAUGAAUACUAGGUGUCGGGGGUUACCCCCUUCGGUGCCGCAG